UUGUGGUGUAGCGGUGAAAAUGCUUUAGAUAUCACACAGAACACCGAUUGCGAAGGCAGCACACUAAGUCAUUAUUGACGCUGAGGCACGAAAGUGUGGGGAUCAAACAGGAUUAGACACCCUGGUAGUCCACACUGUAAACGAUGAUAACUCGCUGUCGGCGAUACACAGUCGGUGGCCAAGCGAAAGCAUUAAGUUAUCCACCUGGGGAGUACGACCGCAAGGUUGAAACUCAAAGGAAUUGACGGGGGCCCGCACAAGCGGAGGAACAUGUGGUUUAAUUCGAUGAUACGCGAGGAACCCUACCCGGGCUCGAACGGUGCAUGAAUAUACGAGAGAUUGUAUAGUCCUUCGGGACAUGUAUCGAGGUGCUGCAUGGUUGUCGUCAGCUCGUGCCGUGAGGUGUCGGCUUAAGUGCCAUAACGAGCGCAACCCUUGUCAUUAGUUGCCAUCAGGUCAAGCUGGGGACUUUAAUGAGACUGCCACCGUAAGGUGUGAGGAAGGGGGGGAUGACGUCAAAUCAGCACGGCCCUUAUGUCCGGGGCGACACACGUGUUACAAUGGGAGGUACAGAGGGCAGCUAUCCGGUGACGGAAUGCUAAUCUCCAAAACCUUUCUCAGUUCGGAUUGGAGUCUGCAACUCGACUCCAUGAAGGUGGAUUCGCUAGUAAUCGCGCAUCAGCCAUGGCGCGGUGAAUACGUUCCCGGGCCUUGUACACACCGCCCGUCAAGCCAUGGAAGCUUGGGGUGCCUGAAGUUCGUGACCGCAAGGAGCGACCUAAGGCAAAANCAGGUAACUGGGGCUAAGUCGUAACCAAGGUAACCCGAAAGGGCGAAUUUCGUAACUCG
RNAcentral lists this ribosomal RNA (849 nucleotides) under uncultured bacterium. RNAcentral describes it as "bacterial SSU rRNA". It matches the Rfam family "Bacterial small subunit ribosomal RNA", at positions 668 to 1533 of the family's 1533-position model. The record is from RNAcentral.